This 253-nucleotide ribosomal RNA is filed under the name uncultured bacterium. RNAcentral describes it as "partial 16S ribosomal RNA". It matches the Rfam family "Bacterial small subunit ribosomal RNA", at positions 524 to 776 of the family's 1533-position model. The record is from RNAcentral.
UACGUAGGGCGCAAGCGUUGUCCGGAAUUAUUGGGCGUAAAGAGCUCGUAGGCGGUCUGUCGCGUCGGCUGUGAAAACCCGGAGCUCAACUCCGGGCCUGCAGUCGAUACGGGCAGACUGGAGUUCGGCAGGGGAGACUGGAAUUCCUGGUGUAGCGGUGAAAUGCGCAGAUAUCAGGAGGAACACCGGUGGCGAAGGCGGCUCACUGGCCCGUAACUGACGCUCAUGCACGACAGCGUGGGGAUCAAACAGG